Molecule: long non-coding RNA, 1003 nt
Filed under: Equus caballus (horse)
Lineage: Eukaryota; Metazoa; Chordata; Mammalia; Perissodactyla; Equidae
Description: lncRNA (ENSECAG00000052550.1)
Source: RNAcentral
UAUAUAUUUAAAAAAUCCAAGGUGCAUGUAAUCUAAAAUACUAUCUUCAUUGUUGUCAGUUGCUAUUCUAAGGUAGUUAGUGAUGCUCAAAACAUUUGUAGACAAAGUAUCAGCAUUGACCAAUUAGAAUGGGCAUGGGCUGCAUGUCACUGUGCAUAUACACUGUUGACUCCUGCUAGACUUUUCUUUGGUGGGUAGAUUUUUUUAUUGGCUGAAAGCCCCCUAAAUUGAGUACAUUCUCAUUUACCCCAGGCAGAACUGCUUCUGCAGAGUUCUCUGUCUUUGGACAUCAUCCUAGAAGCCCCCUGUGGCUCCAGUCAUCUUCCUCUCCGAAGCAGCUGAAGGACCAAGAGGAUAGAAGUAGAAUUCCUAUUCAGCCAAAGGAAGACUGGCCAGAAGGGAAGAAAUCACAUCUGGUUUUAUUCAUUAAACAACUUUUUAAGGACCCACUAUGUACCAGAUGGCCGUCUUCUCACCGUGUCCUCACAUGGCAGAAGGGGACAUUUCCUGAGUCUUCCCUGACUUUGUGGAGUAAGUUAUGUGGCCUUGUUACCUGUUGGCUUGCAUGCAGAUGGGAAGUGGGGAGUUCUGAACCUUCAUUUUCAAUGAGAUCUUGCUAUUUUAAUAAGCUUAACCUUUGUAUCAGUCAAGUCAUUCAUAAUAGGAGACAUCAUUCACCAGAUGGCUCAAAUAAAGACAUGAGAUUAGUUACAGAGACGUGAGAGGGGAAGGGAACCAACAAAGGCUGGCAAGGACAUGGAGACUGGCAAAAGUGGGAAGUCGUUACCCUCUAGAACUGAAAGGAAGAAAACAGCGUUUCUAGAACCCAGUGAGAUCUGGAACUGCGAAGGGUCUGCCCAUGAGAACCGUGAAGGAAUGCAACUACUGCCAGAGAAACAGUGUUAACGCAGAAGACAGAGAACUACGCUGGAAAUUAGGAGACCUGAGCUGUAUCCCAGCUUCUGGCUCACUUCUGACACAAACCAUUCAACUUCCUUGAGCC